This 423-nucleotide ribosomal RNA is filed under the name Javania antarctica. RNAcentral describes it as "partial large subunit ribosomal RNA". It matches the Rfam family "Bacterial large subunit ribosomal RNA", at positions 2003 to 2454 of the family's 2925-position model. Lineage: Eukaryota; Metazoa; Cnidaria; Anthozoa; Scleractinia; Flabellidae. The record is from RNAcentral.
CACGAGGGUCUCACUGUCUUAAGGAAAUUUCCAGUGAAAUUGAAUUUGUAGUGAAGAUGCUACAUCCAAAUUGUUAGACAAGAAGUCCCCAUGGAACUUUACUGGAGACUUAUGUGGCUUAAAUUAAUUUAUUUCUUACAAAUAAAUAGUUUUAAAAUGUGGUGUUAACCCCUCGGAUUAACUAGGGUUAUAAAAGCUCACUCUUUUAUUUAAAGAAAGCCAACUCAAACGUUUAUGUCUUUGGGAUUUUGAUAAGUGGGACAGUUUGGUUGGGGCGACCGCCUUUAAAAAAGUAACGAAGGCGGGCUUAAGAUACAUAUUUAGUGAUGUCUGACUGCCAAGGGGAGAUCCUGAGCAGACACUUACUUUUUAGGUGGGUUUAAGUGACCCGUUGAUUUAGGGUGAAAUAGUUAACGAUAAACA